ACCUGGCUGGCUCAGUCAAUAGAGCACAGGAUUCUUGAUCUCGGGGUCAUGAGUUCAAGCCCCAUGUUAGGUG
Molecule: transfer RNA, 73 nt
Filed under: Canis lupus familiaris (dog)
Lineage: Eukaryota; Metazoa; Chordata; Mammalia; Carnivora; Canidae
Also listed under: 1 other name
Rfam family: tRNA
About the family: Transfer RNA (tRNA) molecules are approximately 80 nucleotides in length. Their secondary structure includes four short double-helical elements and three loops (D, anti-codon, and T loops). Further hydrogen bonds mediate the characteristic L-shaped molecular structure. tRNAs have two regions of fundamental functional importance: the anti-codon, which is responsible for specific mRNA codon recognition, and the 3' end, to which the tRNAs corresponding amino acid is attached (by aminoacyl-tRNA synthetases). tRNAs cope with the degeneracy of the genetic code in two manners: having more than one tRNA (with a specific anti-codon) for a particular amino acid; and 'wobble' base-pairing, i.e. permitting non-standard base-pairing at the 3rd anti-codon position.
Source: Rfam by way of RNAcentral